UUGGGCGUAAAGGGUGCGUAGGCGGCCUGUUAAGUAAGUGGUUAAAUUGUUGGGCUCAACCCAAUCCAGCCACUUAAACUGGCAGGCUAGAGUAUUGGAGAGGCAAGUGGAAUUCCAUGUGUAGCGGUAAAAUGCGUAGAUAUAUGGAGGAACACCAGUGGCGAAGGCGGCUUGCUAGCCAAAGACUGACGCUCAUGCACGAAAGCGUGGGGAGCAAAUAGGAUUAGAUACCCUAGUAGUCCACGCCGUAAACGAUGAAUACUAAGUAUUGGGGAAACUCAGUGCUGCAGCUAACGCAAUAAGUAUUCCGCCUGUGGAGUAUGCACGCAAGUGUGAAACAUAAAGGAAUUGACGGGGGCCCGCACAAGCGGUGGAGUAUGUGGUUUAAUUCGACGCAACGCGAAGAACCUUACCAGGCCUUGACAUCCCUUGCAAAGCUGUAGAGAUACAGUAGAGGUUAUCAAGGAGACAGGUGGUGCAUGGUUGUCGUCAGCUCGUGUCGUGAG
This 506-nucleotide ribosomal RNA is filed under the name uncultured bacterium. RNAcentral describes it as "bacterial SSU rRNA". It matches the Rfam family "Bacterial small subunit ribosomal RNA", at positions 554 to 1071 of the family's 1533-position model. The record is from RNAcentral.